CAUAAUCUUCAUGGUUUGCGUUUUGUGGUCAAGGCGACACAUCAGGCAGAAAUUUUGUAUCCCGGAAGAUCCAGAAGAAAUGGGAUAUAGACGCAACUGGUUGUCGGCGCCGCCCUACACGCCGGAGACCAUGUUCGUCUAUGAAAACAAAGGUACGGUGUUCGACAGUGGCGAAAGAUACGGCGUUAGUGAGGCAGAAGCCAAAGAAAAACACAGAGAGCCCAGUGCACAGCUCAGCGACUAUAAUAACUCCAACGGUGUUGAUUGCAACACAUUUGAUGAUGGUCAUUCGUCUGCAACACUUGUUAAGUCGCCACAAAGAACAACAACAUUGUGAAUGGAAGAUGAAAAAACAACUCAGACGCAUCUCUGAAUAUGCAUCAGAGAUAAUGAAUAUAGUAAGAAGAAAAUUCCAAGUGUAAUUUAUCAAGUGAUCCUGUUUUGAGGAUUCAAAGUGCAAGACUGUAAACUGUAAAUAUCAAAAUGGAAACUUCAUCCUUGCACAGCUGACUGCUGCUGCUGCUGCUGCUACUGCUACUACUGCUACUACUACUACUACUACUACUACUACUACAUAAAAUAGCCUUCACUAAAACCAGGCAAAAAAAAAACUAAUGGGUGUCUGGAUUGGCAGAAUUGUUAGAGCAUUGUACAAAAUGCCUUGUGGUAUACAUUCUGAGUUCAAUUCCUGCUAGGGUCAAUUUUUGCCUUUCUUCCCUCCACAGUCAAUAAAAUAAAGUACCUGUAAAGCACUCAAAUCAAUGGUAUCAAUUAACACCCAGCCUCUCAAAACAGCUGACCUGGUACCAAAAUUAGAAAGAAUUAUAUUUAUUAUUAUUAUUAUUAUUAUUAUUAUCAUUAUUAUUAUUAUUAUUAUUAUUAAGGCAGUGAGUUUGCAGAAUUGUUAGCAUGUUGAAUGAAAUGCUUAGCAGUAUUUUGCUCAUCACUAUGUUCUGAGUUCAAAUUCUGCUGAGUUGGCUUUGCCUUUCAUCAUUUUGGGGUUGAUAAAAUAAGUACCAGUCAAGCACUGGGGUUGACAUAAUCAACUAUCCCCUCUCCCAGAUUUCAGGCCUUGUGCCUAUAGUAAUAAGGAUUAUUAUUAUUAUUAUUAUUAUUAUUGUUAUUAUUAUUAUUAUUAUUAUAAAGGCAGCAAAAGGAUAGAAUUGGUCAGCAUCAGAUAAGAUGCUUAUUGGCAUAUCUUCUAGCCUUACAUUCUGUGUUCAAUUUCUACCAAGGCCAACUUUGCUUUUCACCCUCUUGGGAGUCAGUAAAAUAAGUACCAGCUGAGCAUUGAGAUAGAUAUAAUUGACUUAACCCCAACCCCAAAAUUGCUGGCCUGGUGCCAAAAUUUGAAACCAUUAUUAAUUAAGGUGAUAAGCUGAUAGAAUCAUUAGCACACUGGACAAAAUGCCACUAGGGACUUUGUCCAUCUUUACAUUCUGAGUUCAAAUUCCACCAAGGUCAACUUUGUCUUUGAUAAAUUAAGUACCAGUGAAACACUGGGGUCGAUGUAAUCGACUAACCCCUUCCACCCAAAUUUCAGGCUUUGUGCCUAUAGUAGAAAGGAUUAUUAUUAUUAUUGUUAAUACUGCGUCACCCUUUAUAGAGCGGGAGGCUAAACUCAAGGAGAGCAGAAACUGCAACUAGAUUUCAAAUCUCUCUCUGGAUAUUGUUAAUACAUUUGGGAAAGAUUUGAACCUUCCACUCUCUCUUCUCCCCAACAAACAUCAGGUCUUCAUGUUUAAUGUCAAGUGGUCACAAGACCAUGAGCAUUGGUCUAGUUUAGCACUAGACCAAUGCUCAUUGAAUAGUCUUAUGGUUAUACAUAUUUUUUUCUUGGCACAAUGUACCUAAGACCACAUUCUCCAAUGUACAUUUUAUUUAAAUGAUAAGCUGUGAUUUGAAGGAAAUUUAGUUGCUAUCUCUUGCUGGCCAAGUGACUGCAUAGAGACUUCCUCAUUAGCUUUUAAUGCCAAAGAUAUUUCUCGUCACAAUGACAAUCAAGACCAUUUUUGCAGAAGAUACUGACAGAAGGCCUAGUUGAGGACCAGUUGUUUGUUGUUUUUCUUUUUCUUUUCAUUGUGAUACCUUUAUAGAUGUGAUAGCUUUAUUAAACCAGUCUCUGGAGUACUAUUGGCAUUUCUGUUUAUCAAUGAUUUUACCCAAGAGAUAGAUGGUAAAUUUGAUGACUGUCAUCUCUUUCAGAUGAUAUUAAGUGAUAUUAGGACACGAAACUUUGCAUGCUUACAUGUAUAGCUCUCUACUUCCACAAUCCCUCCCUCCUCCUCCUCUUUCCAAACAACAGAGUAGACCAACAUAGGUACAACACAUUCAGAUGAACAGAAGCUGUUGUGGCAGAGGUAGGAGAGGAAACACAGAAGGAGAGAGAAAGAGAGAAGACACAGCUUGUUAGUUAAAUUGAUGUACAAUGUUAGUAAGUGAAGGUAGUCCCAGAUCAAUCCUGAUCAAGAAAAAAAGACCACCUAACAAAGGAUGGUCCUGAUUGGAAUGUCUGUCUCUUUAGGGUAUCUAGGAACAUUAUCCUAAGAUGUGCUCUUCCUCCUCUCAAGAUGUUAAGGUGGGAUUUGAGUGGAGACUUGGUUGCUAUUUCUAGCAUGUUGAGCGACCAUGUAUAGGUGUCCUCAAUGGGCCAUUACAAUUGGUUUUGUUGUUGUUUAACCUCAGGCCAGCUCUGAUCAAGCAGACUUAUGGUCAAAACCAUUUCAGCUGUGAUAAAUCUGUCUCUUAAUGGGCAUCUGCUCUAUUUUAGAGAAGCAAAGAUAUUUUUGAAAAAUUAAUAAUAAUAAUCUUUUCUACUCUAGUCACAAGGCCCAAAAUUUUGGAGGAUGGGGGCCAGUUGAUUAGAUCGACCCCAGUACACAACUGGUACUUAACUUAACAACCCCGAAAGAAUUAAAGGCCUUGACAAAAUUUGAAUUCAGAAUGUAAAGACAGAUGAAAUACCACUAAGCAUUUCGUCCAGCAUGCAAACGUUUCUGCCAGCUUAUCACUAAGAUAAUAGUGGUCAAUGCAGAGAGUAGACGUGACACCAAUAGUAACUGGUGCACUUGAAAGUAUCAGCACUCAACUACCAGCAUGGCUGAAAAAAAUCGGUGCAAAUGUGAAGGUAGAAUGCCAACAAAAAUCAGCAUUACUUGGAACUGCAAGAAUUCUUCGAAGGGUUCUUGAAGCAUGACCAGUAAAACAAGUGUCACCUUAGUCUGCUGGCUGUGGACAUCUGACACUUUCCAUCAUACCCAGCAAAGUAAGCUGUGAAUUUUAAUAAAUAAUAAUAAUAAUAAUAAUGAUACAAUGCCUGAAAUUUUUGUAGGAUUUGGGGCUAGUUAAUUACAUCAAUCCCAGUGCUCAACUGGUACAUAUUUUAUUGACCAUGAAGGCAUGAAAGGCAAAGCCAACAUCAAUGGAAUUUGAACUCAAAUAAUAUAGAUGUUUUCGACCUAGUUUGGAUUCUUUGCCAUCAAAUUUGAUGGCAAAAAAUCCAAACUAGGUUGGAAACAUCUAUAAUAAUAAUAAUAAAUGAUGAUGAUGAUGAUAAAGAUGUACCCACUCUUAUUGACCACACCCAAUGCCAUGCCAUCCCUAGCACCUCAAAAUUCAAGAAAUCUCAGAUAAUUGCUCAAAAAAAUGUUUACAUAUUUUUGUUUAUUUGUAGAUUUUGUGUUGUAGGUUUUUUUAAUAAAUAUUUGCUCAUUACAAGUGACCACACACAUAAUAUACUCACAUAUACAUACACACAGGUAGGUUACUCACAUUCACACACACUUGCAUAGAAAGGCUCACCACAUACUGUUUUGUGCAGAUGAGGUUAGCACACCUCCAUGCAAAUUCACUCAAACACACUCACACACAUUUACAUUGUGAAUGACAAAUAAAUUUUGUGCUGUCUCAUCCAAUUCUUUCUUGGGUCAUAAAAAUUGUGGUCACAUGUUUCAGGCCCAGACAUUCAGUCAUCAAACAAAUUUUUUUUUUUUUCCUAUUCAAAUGAAAAUGAAUUUAAUACAAAAUAAGCCUUUUUUUUUUUCAAAUAACUGAAAUAUAUUUUACUGGAAAAACAAUGUUCUUUUACCAAAGAAAACAAAGAAAACAGAAAAUAUGGAUUACAGUAUAUUAAUCAAGUAAUGGAACAUUUGAUGAUGUAAAGUGUGUUGGUGAAAAAGCAUGGCAAUGGAAAUUUUGGAGACAAAAUGUCUGGCUGUGAAAACUCUAUAAAUGGAAAAGUUUGUCAGUGAAAAGUACCAGCAACACUAAAGUUGGCAAUGGAAAAUCUAUCAAAGAAAAAUUUGGCAACAAAAACUGUUGAUGAAAAGUCCAUCAUUGUUAUACAUCAAGGUUGAAACUUAAUUACUAAACACCCACUUUAAUAAAAACUUGUCAUAUACUCAGUAAAUAAUAUGAGGACAAAAAGUUACUGCACGUUCAGUAGAAUCACGAUUUUAAGUUAUAUAUAUAUAUAUAUAUAUAUAUAUAUAUAUAUAAACUGCAUAUCCAAAAAAGGUUAAACGAGUACAAGAUUGACUAUGUAUAUCAUGUCAAAAAUCGAUCAUCUGUUCAAUCACAAUUGACUCUUCCAGUCAAACACUGACCACAUAUCCAGUCAAUAACUAACCAUACUCAAAAACUGAU
Octopus bimaculoides (California two-spot octopus) is the source of this 4644-nucleotide unclassified non-coding RNA. Lineage: Eukaryota; Metazoa; Mollusca; Cephalopoda; Octopoda; Octopodidae. The record is from RefSeq and is a predicted model, not a curated record.